This 981-nucleotide ribosomal RNA is filed under the name Triticum aestivum (bread wheat). RNAcentral's name for it is "partial small subunit ribosomal RNA". The record is from RNAcentral. Lineage: Eukaryota; Viridiplantae; Streptophyta; Magnoliopsida; Poales; Poaceae.
AUGGCGGCGGCGGCGGCGGCGGCGGCGGCGAGGAAGAGCGUGUGCGUGACCGGCGCAGGGGGCUUCGUCGCCUCGUGGCUCGUCAAGCUCCUCCUCUCUAAGGGCCACUACGCGGUCCGCGGCACCGUGCGCGAUCCCGGUAAUGCUAAGAAUGCUCACCUUAAGGCGCUAGAAGGUGCUGGGGAAAGGUUGGAGCUGCUCAGCGCCGACCUGCUGAACUACGACAGCAUUGCGUCAGCGGUUGCUGGCUGUGAGGGCGUCUUUCAUGUUGCUAGCCCUGUCCCUUCUGGCAGAUCAACCAAUCCUGAGGAAGAAGUUAUAGCCCCUGCUGUAACAGGCACACUGAAUGUCUUGAAGGCUUGCUACGAGGCGAAAGUUAAGCGAGUUGUCAUGGUGUCUUCAGUUGCUGCUGUGUCCAAUAAUCCUAACUGGCCUAAGGAUAAAUUAUUUGAUGAAGAUAGCUGGUCAGACGAGGAUCUCUGCAGAAAGGGUGAGGAUUGGUAUUUCCUUUCCAAAACACUCGCAGAGCGUGAGGCUUUUGCUUAUGCAGCAAAAACUGGGCUGGAUAUUGUAACUAUUUGCCCGUCGUUGGUAAUUGGCCCCUUGAUGCAGUCUACAGUAAAUACAAGCAGUAAUAUUCUCCUUAAUUAUCUCAAAGGAGAACGUGAUACUGUAGAAAAUAAACUCAGGAAUGUAGUGGAUGUCCGUGAUGUUGCCGAUGCUCUUCUAUUGGCAUAUGAAAAUCCAGAGGCGUCUGGACGGUACAUCUGCAGUUCAAAACCAGUAAAAGUCUCUGAUAUGAUAAGCGUACUGAAGACCUUAUAUCCAAUGUACACUUAUCCCAAAAACUUUACGGAAGUGGAAGAAAAUACCAUUUAUAGUUCAGAGAAACUUCAGAACCUAGGGUGGACCUUCAGGCCUUUAGAGAAGACCCUGGGGGACAGCGUGGAAUCCUACAAAGCAUCUGGCGUCCUGAACUGA